RNAcentral lists this long non-coding RNA (950 nucleotides) under Equus caballus (horse). RNAcentral's name for it is "lncRNA (ENSECAG00000055438.1)". The record is from RNAcentral. Lineage: Eukaryota; Metazoa; Chordata; Mammalia; Perissodactyla; Equidae.
AUCAAGUAGAGACAGCAGAUCACUGUUUAAAAGGGAUUCUGGGCCUCUGAGAUUCCAGGGCUCUAGAGUGGAACACUGGGGAGGUUCUGAGAGCCCGAAGUGACCAUUGCAAUUCUAAAGUAUCCGUAGUAAAACGUUUGCCAUUUUGGAGGAUAAAGAAGUUCAAGUGAAGAUAAGCAGAAUCUUCUAAAGGGAACUUGGACAGGCAAGAGGAAAUGAGCAGUGGGGUAUGACAGGAAAAGGGUCUCACUGUGUUGAGCUGAUUCCCAGAGGAAGCUGAUCAAGAGGACACAUUCUACGUUUUUCAAGCUUGCUCAGACUUGGGAGAACUCAGGCUUCAGGGGACUGGAGGAAGGAGAGAAACCUGGCUAACAGUCAAGACAAAACAAGAGCUCAGUGAAGACAUGUGAGCAAGGACAGCAUUCUCUAGAGAGAGAAAGAGAGAGACAUGGUGAGAAGAGAGAAGACUAGAAAAGGAGGAAGACAAGAAAACCUCCCUUUCCAGCAACGUGGCUUUUUGCAGAUGAUUUUGCGAGUUAAGCUACAUGAACUGUGAAGAUCGACCCUGAGCUUUUCUUGCUCGUGCUGUGGCAAAUACCUAGAAUACAAUAUGGGCUCAAUAAAUAACCAUUUAUUUAUGAACAAGAAUGAAUAAAUAAGUGAAGCAAUCAAUCAACCAACGGGGAGACUUGUAAAGUUAUAGGCUGGACACAGUAUCAAUUUAUACCCCUACCUACUUUAACAACCUCAUUUCCCAUGAAACUAUGAUAAGCACCCUAUGUCCCAGCCGCACCAUGUUACUCGCAUUACCUGCAUCCAACUCCUGGGUGAGUUAUGCCUCAGUGCUUACCUAGUAUGCUUGACAACCUGAACAAAUCAUUGUUAACACCCCUCUCCUCUUUAUGACAAAAUUGAUUUUAAUAAAAAUCAUGUAAUAAUAUGAACAAUCA